This 93-nucleotide non-coding RNA is filed under the name human gut metagenome. RNAcentral's name for it is "S10-Clostridia ribosomal protein leader". It matches the Rfam family "S10-Clostridia ribosomal protein leader". The record is from RNAcentral.
UGAUAGCUAUGAAGCGUGAGGUUGCUGCUAAAGGGUGAUGCCGGAAAGCAGGUUUUCCGUGGAGCGAAUGUCAAGUUAGGAAACUGACGACAA